Molecule: ribosomal RNA, 326 nt
Filed under: uncultured eukaryote
Lineage: Eukaryota
Description: partial 18S ribosomal RNA
Rfam family: Eukaryotic small subunit ribosomal RNA
Source: RNAcentral
CCCUUAGAUGUUCUGGGCUGCACGCGCGCUACACUGAUGCAUUCAACAAGCCUAGCCUUGACCGAGAGGUCCGGGUAAUCUUUGAAACUGCAUCGUGAUGGGGCUAGAUUAUUGCAAUUAUUAAUCUUCAACGAGGAAUGCCUAGUAAGCGUGAUUCAUCAAAUCGCGUUGAUUACGUCCCUGCCCUUUGUACACACCGCCCGUCGCUCCUACCGAUUGAAUGUGUUGGUGAGGAGCUCGGAUUGGCAGCAGUUGGUGGUUCGCCACCGGCUAUUGCUGAGAAGUCCUCCAAACCGCCCCAUUUAGAGGAAGGAGAAGUCGUAACA